This 457-nucleotide ribosomal RNA is filed under the name uncultured bacterium. RNAcentral describes it as "SSU rRNA". It matches the Rfam family "Bacterial small subunit ribosomal RNA", at positions 26 to 518 of the family's 1533-position model. The record is from RNAcentral.
AGAAUCAACGCUGGCGGCGUGCCUAACACAUGCAAGUCGAACGAGAAAGUGGAGCAAUCCACGAGUAAAGUGGCGCACGGGUGAGUAACACGUGACUAACCUACCCUUGAGUGGGGAAUAACUGAGGGAAACCUUAGCUAAUACCGCAUAACACCUACGGGUCAAAGGAGCAAUUCGCUUAAGGAGGGGGUCGCGGCAGAUUAGUUAGUUGGCGGGGUAAUGGCCCACCAAGACAGUGAUCUGUAUCCGGCCUGAGAGGGCGCACGGACACACUGGAACUGAAACACGGUCCAGACUCCUACGGGAGGCAGCAGUGGGGAAUUUGCGCAAUGGGGGAAACCCUGACGCAGCAACGCCGCGUGGAGGAUGAAGACCCUUGGGUCGUAAACUCCUUUCGAUCGGGACGAUUAUGACGGUACCGGAAGAAGAGCCCGGCUAACUUCGUGCCAGCAGCCGC